UCAGAAAACAGUCACCUUCGCAUUUUGUGUACCGAUAAUGCGUUUAACGUUUGGCUGUAAGCCAGAUCUUGUAAUACACCUAAGGCUUCUCUCCGUCUUUACUAUGUAUUUUAAGACCAAUCAGAGGCGGUUGCUAGGCGGAGUAGAAUCGAUCGACCAAUCAACGUUUUUCUGCCAAUAUUGGCUAACGUAUGUCGUCAUUGGCUACGACGUAUCCCCUCAUUGGCCACAGCCUUCCGGGAGGAGUGUAGAGAGGCGGAGAAACGAAGUCAGCAAACAGAUUUAAACCAAAUUUGAACCAUUGCCUCUGUUUGCUAGUACUGAGAGGAAACCUCGUUACCGGAGAGAUUUGGAUGCUAAAACAAACGCUGGAACUGCUUUUUUGUUAGCACGUGUGAGACUGGACACUGAACACACCUUUGGGGCGACGGUUUACUCCUUCAGCUGCUGCAGCCUGGUCAGCUCUCACCUCACAAACCAAUCAGGUGUCACCACUAUGUCCGUGAUUGCAGAGUCUUCGUACAAUGAAGAAGUUCUUUGAGACCAGGACUGAAGCCUCCAGGUAAUUCACAAACAGCUUUUCAUCAA
Long non-coding RNA from Lates calcarifer (barramundi perch), 588 nucleotides. RefSeq lists it as uncharacterized. The transcript has 3 exons. NCBI's taxonomy places the organism in Eukaryota, Metazoa, Chordata, Actinopteri, Centropomidae. The record is from RefSeq and is a predicted model, not a curated record.